UACGUAGGGGGCAAGCGUUGUCCGGAUUUAUUGGGCGUAAAGAGCGUGUAGGCGGCCAGAUAGGUCCGUUGUGAAAACUCGAGGCUCAACCUCGAGACGCCGAUGGAAACCAUUUGGCUAGAGUCCGGAAGAGGAGAGUGGAAUUCCUGGUGUAGCGGUGAAAUGCGCAGAUAUCAGGAAGAACACCCGUGGCUAAGGCGGCUCUCUGGGACGGUACUGACGCUGAGACGCGAAAGCGUGGGGAGCGAACAGG
Molecule: ribosomal RNA, 253 nt
Filed under: uncultured bacterium
Lineage: Bacteria
Description: partial 16S ribosomal RNA
Rfam family: Bacterial small subunit ribosomal RNA
Source: RNAcentral